RNAcentral lists this long non-coding RNA (726 nucleotides) under Marmota monax (woodchuck). Lineage: Eukaryota; Metazoa; Chordata; Mammalia; Rodentia; Sciuridae. The record is from RNAcentral.
UGGGUACCAGGAGGACUGAGCGCGCACAGAUAGGACCAGACGCACAGGUGGGAGACAAUCAUCAUUCCCUUGGUCCCCCCUCGUUGUACACGGAGGUUAUUUCCGGGCCUGUGGCACAGCUUUCAUGGGCUCAUGUCCCCAUCUGCAGACAUCUAACCAGACGCCCCAUCUCAGGCGUCCCUGCUGUCCUGUUCACAGCCCCUGAUGAUGCUCGCCUUCUGCACAGCCACGUGGGGGCAGCAGCUCCCCACCACCUCCGCGCCGACACCCACCCCGGCCGCGGCUGCCUCCCGUCCUCUCCAGGCCCAAGACCCGGGGGCCAAUCCCGUCUCCAUCCCUCGGUGUUAGGCCCAGCCAAGAUCUCCCCGAGGAGCAGCCCCACUGAGCCUUGCUUCCCGCCGGUCACUGCAGCGGCCCCUGUGGCCCCCGUGGGUGACCCUCCCUCCCUGCCGACAGACUGACCUACAGGUCUGGGCGUGAGGCGGUCCCCUUGCCUACCGCCCCUGAUCUGUCCCUGGUGCCCGCCGUCUCAGGAGUGCCUCCUAGUGACAGCCAACUCCUGCGACAGGGUUCCAGCUACCUGCCAAUCAGAUGCCCGGCUCUUCAGGUCCAGAGGCCUGCUGCCGCCCGAUGCUACAGAGAACAUUUUGGACACCACUCUUUGCCCACAUUCUGUCCUUAGAGUACUUCUCUAAAACUGAAAUUGGUUUAUAAUAGGAAAUAAAG